This 443-nucleotide ribosomal RNA is filed under the name uncultured bacterium. Its description in RNAcentral is "partial 16S ribosomal RNA". It matches the Rfam family "Bacterial small subunit ribosomal RNA", at positions 338 to 795 of the family's 1533-position model. The record is from RNAcentral.
CCUACGGGAGGCAGCAGUGGGGAAUAUUGGGCAAUGGAGGAAACUCUGACCCAGCAACGCCGCGUGAAUGAUGAAGGUCUUCGGAUUGUACCGUUCUUUUCUAAGGGACGACGAAAGUGACGGUACCUUAGGAAUAAGCCUCGGCUAACUACGUGCCAGCAGCCGCGGUAAUACGUAGGAGGCGAGCGUUAUCCGGAAUGACUGGGCGUAAAGGGUGCGUAGGUGGUUUGGCAAGUCAGUAGCGUAACUCCAAGGCUCAACCUUGGAACUACUACUAAAACGGUUGGACUUGAGUGCAGAAGGGGCAACCGGAAUGCCUAGUGUAGCGGUGGAAUGCGUAGAGAUGUGGAGGAACACCAGUGGCGAAGGCGGGUUGCUAGACUAUAACUGACACUGAGGCACGAAAGCGUGGGGAGCAAACAGGAUUAGAUACCCGGGUAGUC